GAUGAACGCUAGCUACAGGCUUAACACAUGCAAGUCGAGGGGAAACGGCAUUAAGUGCUUGCACUUUUUGGACGUCGACCGGCGCACGGGUGAGUAACGCGUAUCCAACCUUCCCAUGACUAAGGGAUAACCUGCCGAAAGGCAGACUAAUACCUUAUGGUCUUCACUGACGGCAUCAGAUGUGAAGUAAAGAUUUAUCGGUUAUGGAUGGGGCUGCGUCUGAUUAGCUUGUUGGCGGGGUAACGGCCCACCAAGGCAACGAUCAGUAGGGGUUCUGAGAGGAAGGUCCCCCACAUUGGAACUGAGACACGGUCCAAACUCCUACGGGAGGCAGCAGUGAGGAAUAUUGGUCAAUGGGCGAGAGCCUGAACCAGCCAAGUAGCGUGCAGGAUGACGGCCCUAUGGGUUGUAAACUGCUUUUGUAUGGGGAUAAAGUCAAUCACGUGUGAUUGUUUGCAGGUACCAUACGAAUAAGGACCGGCUAAUUCCGUG
Molecule: ribosomal RNA, 492 nt
Filed under: uncultured bacterium
Lineage: Bacteria
Description: partial 16S ribosomal RNA
Rfam family: Bacterial small subunit ribosomal RNA
Source: RNAcentral